Molecule: long non-coding RNA, 384 nt
Organism: Drosophila guanche
Lineage: Eukaryota; Metazoa; Arthropoda; Insecta; Diptera; Drosophilidae
Exons: 4
Source: RefSeq, a predicted model, not a curated record
UUUCGGUUUUGUUCUAGGCAAUUUUGAAAGCUUUUUGCCAUCAUCAUUGUAGUUGUUCGUGUGCAUCGCUCUCGCGUGCAUUUUAAUUUGUGUUGGAAAAGGGGUGCGGGUGCGGAGUGCGGGUGCUGUGUAGAGAGAACUAUUUUGUCUGUUGACUUCAAACAAAAAUUGUAAAUUUUGACAAGACUUGACCAGAAUGACCCAAACCCAAACAGACCGCAAUAGGACCGUUUGGUGGCCGUUCGCGUACGUUCUUUUAUUCCCUCCCACAUUCACUCGAUGGGCCAUCAGAUGUGAACGACGGGUUUCAUGACCAUUUGGGAUGGAGAAUUAGUGGAUGGAUUGUUGGCUGCGAUCUGUGAACGAUGAACAAAGCUAGAGGGA